GACGAACGCUGGCGGCGUGCUUAACACAUGCAAGUCGAACGGAAAGGCCCUGCUUUUGUGGGGUGCUCGAGUGGCGAACGGGUGAGUAACACGUGAGUAACCUGCCCUUGACUUUGGGAUAACUUCAGGAAACUGGGGCUAAUACCGGAUAGGAGCUCCUGCUGCAUGGUGGGGGAUGGAAAGUUUCGGCGGUUGGGGAUGGACUCGCGGCUUAUCAGCUUGUUGGUGGGGUAGUGGCUUACCAAGGCUUUGACGGGUAGCCGGCCUGAGAGGGUGACCGGCCACAUUGGGACUGCGGUACGGCCCAGACUCCUACGGGAGGCAGAAGUGGGGAAUAUUGCACAAUGGGCGGAAGCCUGAUGCAGCAACGCCGCGUGCGGGAUGACGGCCUUCGGGUUGUAAACCGCUUUCGCCUGUGACGAGGCGUGAGUGACGGUAAUGGGUAAAAAAGCACCGGCUAACUACGUG
RNAcentral lists this ribosomal RNA (468 nucleotides) under uncultured bacterium. Its description in RNAcentral is "partial 16S ribosomal RNA". It matches the Rfam family "Bacterial small subunit ribosomal RNA", at positions 28 to 507 of the family's 1533-position model. The record is from RNAcentral.